This 2388-nucleotide long non-coding RNA is filed under the name Calidris pugnax (ruff). RNAcentral describes it as "lncRNA (ENSCPUG00000002071.1)". The record is from RNAcentral. Lineage: Eukaryota; Metazoa; Chordata; Aves; Charadriiformes; Scolopacidae.
GCUCCCCAUGGAGGCCAGGUCUACCCCAUUGGGGGUCAACUCCUCCCCACAGAGACCAGGUCUACCCCAUUGGGGGUCAAGCCACCCCAUGGAGGCCAGGUCUACCCCGUUGAGGGUCAAGGCCACCCCACGGAGGUCAGGUCUCCCCCAUUGGGGGUCAAUGCCGCUCCACAGAGAGCAGGUCUACCCCAUUGGGGGUCAAGCCACCCCAUGGAGGCCAGGUCUACCCCGUUGAGGGUCAAGGCCACCCCACGGAGGUCAGGUCUACCCCGUUGGGGGUCUACUGCUCCCCAUGGAGGCCAGGUCUACCCCAUUUAGGGGUCAAGGCCGCCCACAGAGACCAGGUCUACCCCAUUGGUGGUCAAUACAACCCCACAGAGACCAGGUCUACCCCAUUGUCCCAAUGUCACCCUAUGAGGUCAGGGUCACUCUAUGGGUCCCAAGGCCACCCCAUGGGGGCCAGGUCUACCCCAUUUAGGGGUCAAGGCCACCCCACGGAGGUCAGGUCUACCCCAUUGGGGGUCAAUGCCGCUCCACAGAGACCAGGUCUACCCCAUUGGGGGUCAACUCCUCCCCACAGAGACCAGGUCUACCCCAUUGGGGGUCAACUCCUCCCCACAGAGACCAGGUCUACCCCAUUGGGGGUCAACUCCUCCCCACAGAGACCAGGUCUACCCCAUUGGGGGUCAACUCCUCCCCACAGAGACCAGGUCUACCCCAUUGGGGGUCAACUCCUCCCCACAGAGACCAGGUCUACCCCAUUGGGGGUCAACUCCUCCCCACAGAGACCAGGUCUACCCCAUUGGGGGUCAACUCCUCCCCACAGAGACCAGGUCUACCCCAUUGUCCCAAGGCCACCCUACGGGUCCCAGGGUCACCCUAUGGGUCCCAAAACCACUCCAUGGGGGCCAGGUCUACCCCAUGGUAUCAAUGUCACCCCAUGGGGGUCAAGGUCACCCUAUGGAGGCCACACCCCACAGAGGCCAGGUCUACCCCUUUGGGGGUCAAGGCCACCCCACGGAGGUCAGGUCUACCCCAUUGGGGGUCAAGGCCUCCCCACGGAGGCCAGGUCUACCCCAUGGUCCCAAUGUCACCCUAUGGGGGUCAAGGUCACCCUAUGGAGGCCACGUCUACCCCAUUGUCCCAAGGCCACCCUACGGGUCCCAGGGUCACCCUAUGGGUCCCAAAACCUCUCCAUGGGGGCCAGGUCUACCCCAUGGUCCCAAUGUCACCCUAUGGGGGUCAAGGUCACCCUAUGGAGGCCACGUCUACCCCAUUGUCCCAAGGCCACCCUAUGGGUCCCAAGAGCCACCCGAUGGGGUCAAGGCCACCCCAUGGGGUGACCUUGACCUCCCCCUUCCCCCCCUUCCCCCCCCCGCAGGUGGAGGCCCACGAGGACGACGUCAACGCGGUGGCCCUGGGGGACGGCACGGGGGGGCAGCUGUUGCUCUCGGGGGGGGACGACGGGGUCAUCCGGGCCUGGGACCGCCGCUGCCUGGGGGAGGGGCAGCCCCGCCCCGUCGGCCUCCUGGCCGGCCACCGCGAUGGAAUCACCUUCCUGCACCCCCGGGGCGACGGGCGUUACCUGGUCUCCAACUCCAAGGACCAGACGGCCAAGUUGUGGGACCUGAGGCGACCGGCCGGGCCGGGGGGUUUGGCCGCCGCCCGUCGGGCCGUGGCUCGGCAGAGCUGGGACUAUCGGUGGCAACGGGCCCCCCCCCGAGGUGAGUGGGCGGAGCUUGGGGUGGGAGGGGGCGGGGCCUCGGGGGUGGGGUAAUUAAGGAAGGAUGAGGGGUGGUAAUUAAGGAGGGAAGGGGGGAUUAAGGAGGGGAUAAUAGGGGUCCCUGGGGUGGUUAGAUGCCCCCCUGGGGUAAUUAAUCCCAUCCCGGGGGUAAUUAGUCACAUCCCUGGGGUAAUUAGUCACAUCCACAGGGGUAAUUAGCCCCAUCUGGGGGUAAUUAGCCCCAUCUCUGGGGUAAUUAGUCGCAUCCAGGGGGUAAUUAGCCCCACCUCGAGGUAAUUUAGACCUUUUUUGAGGUAAUUAGAACAUCCUUGGGGUAAUUAGAGCAUCUUUGGGGUAAUUAGAACAUUCUUGGGGUAAUUAGACCCGCCCCAGGGGCAAUUAGACCCACCUCGGGGGUAAUUAGCCUCAUCUCUGGAGUCAUUAGCCCCAUCCCGGGGGUAAUUAGUCGCAUCCAGGGGGUCAUUAGCCCCACCCGGGCUUAAUUACCCCCAUCCCAGGCUUAAUUACCCCCAUCUGGGGCUUAAUUACCCCCAUCCCGAGCUUAAUUACCCCCAUUCCGUAAUUAGACUCAUCCCUGGGGUGAUUAUCCUGCUCCCUGGCUUAAUUACCCCUACCCCGGCUUAAUUACCCCCAUACCGGGCUUA